RNAcentral lists this ribosomal RNA (253 nucleotides) under uncultured bacterium. Its description in RNAcentral is "partial 16S ribosomal RNA". It matches the Rfam family "Bacterial small subunit ribosomal RNA", at positions 524 to 776 of the family's 1533-position model. The record is from RNAcentral.
GACAGGGGGUGCAAGCGUUGCUCGGAAUCACUGGGCGUAAAGCGCACGUAGGCGGUCGCGUAAGUCGGGUGUGAAAGCCCUCAGCCUAACUGAGGAACUGCGCCUGAUACUGCGUGGCUUGAGAACGGGAGGGGAGAGUGGAAUUCCUGGUGGAGCGGUGAAAUGCGUAGAUAUCAGGAGGAACACCAGUGGCGAAGGCGACUCUCUGGUCCGUUUCUGACGCUGAGGUGCGAGAGCUAGGGGAGCAAACGGG